Molecule: ribosomal RNA, 479 nt
Filed under: Fusarium dimerum
Lineage: Eukaryota; Fungi; Ascomycota; Sordariomycetes; Hypocreales; Nectriaceae
Description: eukaryotic LSU rRNA
Rfam family: 5.8S ribosomal RNA (bases 138-291)
Source: RNAcentral
UGCUUACUGCAUUUUUUCUUACACAUGUGUUUUUCUUUUUUUGAAAACUUUGCUUUGGUAGGCCUUCUAUAUGGGGCCUGCCAGAGAUUAAACUCAACCAAAUUUUAUUUAAUGUCAACCGAUUAUUUAAUAGUCAAAACUUUCAACAACGGAUCUCUUGGUUCUCGCAUCGAUGAAGAACGCAGCGAAAUGCGAUAAGUAAUAUGAAUUGCAGAUAUUCGUGAAUCAUCGAAUCUUUGAACGCACAUUGCGCCCUUUGGUAUUCCAAAGGGCAUGCCUGUUUGAGCGUCAUUUCUCCCUCAAACCCUCGGGUUUGGUGUUGAGCGAUACGCUGGGUUUGCUUGAAAGAAAGGCGGAGUAUAAACUAAUGGAUAGGUUUUUUCCACUCAUUGGUACAAACUCCAAAACUUCUUCCAAAUUCGACCUCAAAUCAGGUAGGACUACCCGCUGAACUUAAGCAUAUCAAUAAGCGGGGGAAA